Molecule: ribosomal RNA, 587 nt
Filed under: uncultured bacterium
Lineage: Bacteria
Description: partial 16S ribosomal RNA
Rfam family: Bacterial small subunit ribosomal RNA
Source: RNAcentral
UGGGGAAUAUUGGACAAUGGGCGCAAGCCUGAUCCAGCAAUGCCGCGUGUGUGAAGAAGGCCUUCGGGUUGUAAAGCACUUUUAUCAGGAGCGAAACGCUGUCGGCUAAUACCCGGCGGAACUGACGGUACCUGAGGAAUAAGCACCGGCUAACUUCGUGCCAGCAGCCGCGGUAAUACGAAGGGUGCAAGCGUUAAUCGGAAUUACUGGGCGUAAAGCGUGCGUAGGCGGUUUCUUAAGUCUGCUGUGAAAUCCCCGGGCUCAACCUGGGAAUGGCAGUGGAUACUGGGAGGCUAGAGUGUGUCAGAGGGUGGUGGAAUUCCCGGUGUAGCGGUGAAAUGCGUAGAGAUCGGGAGGAACAUCAGUGGCGAAGGCGGCCACCUGGGGCAACACUGACGCUGAGGCACGAAAGCGUGGGGAGCAAACAGGAUUAGAUACCCUGGUAGUCCACGCCCUAAACGAUGCGAACUGGAUGUUGGUCUCAACUCGGAGAUCAGUGUCGAAGCUAACGCGUUAAGUUCGCCGCCUGGGGAGUACGGUCGCAAGACUGGAAACUCAAAUGAAUUGACGGGGUCAUAGCUGUUUCC